RNAcentral lists this ribosomal RNA (215 nucleotides) under uncultured bacterium. RNAcentral's name for it is "partial 16S ribosomal RNA". It matches the Rfam family "Bacterial small subunit ribosomal RNA", at positions 524 to 729 of the family's 1533-position model. The record is from RNAcentral.
GACGGAGGGUGCUAGCGUUGUUCGGAAUGACUGGGCGGUAAAGGGCGCGUAGGUGGCCCGGUCAGUCUUUGGAUGGAAACGCCGGCGGGGCUCAACCCUGCGUCGGCCAGGGAUACUGCCGCGGGCUGGAGCACUGUAGAGGCAGGCGGAAUUCCGGGUGUAGCGGUGGAAUGCGUAGAGAGUCCGGAAGAACACCGGUGGCGAAGGCGGCCUGC